UUAUUUCUUCGCUGAAAUGUCGCAGGACGCCUGACAAUAAAAUAAAAUAAUUUAGGUCCCAGUUUAUGGGUUAUUAUCGGGUUAAAGACCGGUCCCGUUACAUUGCGACCCAUGAAACAUAUUUUUUGGGAAACAUAUCUUAUCUAGAUCUUUAUUCCUAGUUGAAGCCAUUGCACAAAAAUAUGUUUUGGUGUUAUCACGUAUAUCAGUGGCCCCGGAGUGGACAUUCAUCUCUUAGCUGUCGGCCUCUGUCUCCACGUGCACUAUCUCUCCUAUCUCAGCUGCUACUCGAACAUGGCCAGUGUCCUUCUGGACGCCGAAGCUGAUCGAUGACGGUGUCGGUUUCAAUUUUUCAUUCAGACCACCUAUCAAUUAAUAAAUUGAGAGGGAAAAAGGGAAAUCGGACCGAUGACCGGGGAAAUCUACGUUUGGAAGAGCGUCCUUUAUGGCGGAAGUCUUUAAAAUCUAGCUUUGUGUAUGAUUUAUGUGCGUGUAGUGAAGGACUUUAUGGACGAGGAAAUGGAUUUGUUGUCGGGACUUGGCAAUUUACUUAUGGCCUAGAUGUCAGCAUGCGUUGGGAUUAAAAUACAAUCUUUCAAUUAGUUAUUGAGAAACAAUACCAGUUUUGUGAUUAAUGAAUAAACUACACUGAAUUUUAA
Long non-coding RNA from Tribolium castaneum (red flour beetle), 659 nucleotides. RefSeq lists it as uncharacterized. The record is from RefSeq and is a predicted model, not a curated record. The transcript has 2 exons. NCBI's taxonomy places the organism in Eukaryota, Metazoa, Arthropoda, Insecta, Coleoptera, Tenebrionidae.